GGGGGUGACUAGCUUCGACAGGAUGGUCGCUCUCUGACGGUCGCAGGCCCUGGUUGGCCGAAUCCAGGUAAAAAUUCGUCCAAAAACAUAAAAGCCAAUACACAACUGGCCUGGGCCACCGCCUAACCCGCGGUAGGUUCACAUCGACCCUCCAACGCCCGCUAAGAGGGACCCGAUGUCAACUAGCGGACUGGGCGAUUCUUCGCGCGCUUCGUCGAAGGAACGCCGAGACUUAACGGAGCUGGGCACGGGAUACUGGUUCGGCGGUUUUCCCGCGUCGAGACUUAAGCCGAACUAAGCCUGUAGUGGCCUCAGGGACGUUAUUCUGGACGCGGGUGCGAAUCCCGCCACCUCCACCA
This 359-nucleotide transfer-messenger RNA is filed under the name Elusimicrobia. RNAcentral's name for it is "UBA1565 sp002790095 Standard tmRNA". It matches the Rfam family "transfer-messenger RNA". Rfam says of the family: Bacterial tmRNA, also known as 10Sa RNA or SsrA, is named for its dual tRNA and mRNA-like properties. Its role is to liberate the mRNA from a stalled ribosome. The record is from RNAcentral. RNAcentral also lists the same sequence under 4 other names. Lineage: Bacteria; Pseudomonadati; Elusimicrobiota.